RNAcentral lists this ribosomal RNA (517 nucleotides) under Naganishia globosa. RNAcentral's name for it is "eukaryotic LSU rRNA". It matches the Rfam family "Eukaryotic large subunit ribosomal RNA", at positions 107 to 619 of the family's 3401-position model. The record is from RNAcentral. Lineage: Eukaryota; Fungi; Basidiomycota; Tremellomycetes; Filobasidiales; Filobasidiaceae.
GCUCAAAUUUGAAAUCUGGUAGCCUUCGGUUGCCCGAGUUGUAAUCUAGAGAAGUGUUUUCCGCGUUGGCCCAUGUACAAGUCCCUUGGAACAGGGCGUCAUAGAGGGUGAGAAUCCCGUCCUUGACAUGGACCCCCAAUGCUUUGUGAUACACUUUCAACGAGUCGAGUUGUUUGGGAAUGCAGCUCAAAAUGGGUGGUGAAUUCCAUCUAAAGCUAAAUACUGGCGAGAGACCGAUAGCGAACAAGUACCGUGAGGGAAAGAUGAAAAGCACUUUGGAAAGAGAGUUAAACAGUACGUGAAAUUGUUGAAAGGGAAACGAUUGAAGUCAGUCAUGCUCUUUGGAUUAAGCCGUUCUGCGGUGUAUUUCAUUGAGCGGGGUCAACAUCAGUUUUGAUCGCUGGAAAAGGGCAGGAGGAAGGUAGCACUCUCGGGUGAACUUAUAGCCUCUUGUCGUAUACAGUGAUUGGGACUGAGGAACGCAGCAUGCCUUUUGGCCGGGAUUCGUCCACGUACA